GCUAACUCCGUGCCAGCAGCCGCGGUAAUACGGAGGAUCCGAGCGUUAUCCGGAAUUAUUGGGUUUAAAGGGUCCGUAGGCGGGAGAAUUAGUCAGUGGUGAAAGUCUGUGGCUCAACCAUAGAAUUGCCGUUGAAACUGUUUUCCUUGAGUCAUUAUGAAGUGGUUAGAACAUGUAGUGUAGCGGUGAAAUGCAUAGAUAUUACAUAGAAUACCGAUUGCGUAGGCAGAUCACUAAUAAUGUACUGACGCUGAGGGACGAAAGCGUAGGUAGCGAACAGGAUUAGAUACCCUUGUAGUC
This 300-nucleotide ribosomal RNA is filed under the name uncultured Salinimicrobium sp. RNAcentral describes it as "bacterial SSU rRNA". It matches the Rfam family "Bacterial small subunit ribosomal RNA", at positions 496 to 795 of the family's 1533-position model. The record is from RNAcentral. Lineage: Bacteria; Pseudomonadati; Bacteroidota; Flavobacteriia; Flavobacteriales; Flavobacteriaceae.